Molecule: unclassified non-coding RNA, 310 nt
Filed under: plant metagenome
Description: partial contains 5.8S ribosomal RNA, internal transcribed spacer 2, and large subunit ribosomal RNA
Rfam family: 5.8S ribosomal RNA (bases 1-105)
Source: RNAcentral
GAAAUGCGAUAAGUAAUGUGAAUUGCAGAAUUCAGUGAAUCAUCGAAUCUUUGAACGCACAUUGCGCCCGCCAGCAUUCUGGCGGGCAUGCCUGUUCGAGCGUCAUUUCAACCCUCGAGCCCCCCCGGGGGCCUCGGUGUUGGGGGACGGCACACCAGCCGCCCCCGAAAUGCAGUGGCGACCCCGCCGCAGCCUCCCCUGCGUAGUAGCACACACCUCGCACCGGAGCGCGGAGGCGGUCACGCCGUAAAACGCCCAAUUUUCUUAGAGUUGACCUCGGAUCAGGUAGGAAUACCCGCUGAACUUAAGC